RNAcentral lists this ribosomal RNA (253 nucleotides) under uncultured bacterium. RNAcentral describes it as "partial 16S ribosomal RNA". It matches the Rfam family "Bacterial small subunit ribosomal RNA", at positions 524 to 776 of the family's 1533-position model. The record is from RNAcentral.
UACGGAGGGGGCUAGCGUUGUUCGGAAUUACUGGGCGUAAAGCGCACGUAGGCGGAUUGUUUAGUCGGGGGUGAAAUCCCGGGGCUCAACCCCGGAACGGCCUUCGAUACUGGCAGUCUGGAGGAUGGAAGAGGCGAGUGGAAUUCCGAGUGUAGAGGUGAAAUUCGUAGAUAUUCGGAGGAACACCAGUGGCGAAGGCGGCUCGCUGGUCCAUUUCUGACGCUGAGGUGCGAAAGCGUGGGGAGCAAACAGG